UAGUCCACGCCGUAAACGAUGGAUACUCGAUGUGGGAAGGAUUCGACCCCUUUCUGUGUCCAAGCUAACGCGUUAAGUAUCCCGCCUGGGGAGUACGGUCGCAAGAUUAAAACUCAAAGGAAUAGACGGGGGACCCACACAAGCGGUGGAGCAUGUGGUUUAAUUCGACAAUAAACGGGGAACCUUACCAGGGCUUGACAUCUCCGGAACCCACUAGAAAUAGAGGGGUGCCGUAAGGAACCGGAUGACAGGUGCUGCAUGGUCGUCGUCAGCUCGUGCCUUGAGGUGUUCGGUUAAGUCCGUAAACGAGCGCAACCCAUGUCCUAUGUUGCAAUUUCUCAUAGGAGACUGCCGGCUCCAAGUCGGAGGAAGGUAUGGAUGACGUCAGAUCAGCACGGCCCUUAUGCCCUGGGCCACACACGUGCUACAAUGACUGGUACAAUGGGUAGCGAACCGGUAACGGGGAGCCAAUCUCACCAAAGCCAGUCUAAGUUCGGAUUGAGGGCUGCAAUUCG
RNAcentral lists this ribosomal RNA (515 nucleotides) under uncultured bacterium. RNAcentral describes it as "bacterial SSU rRNA". It matches the Rfam family "Bacterial small subunit ribosomal RNA", at positions 791 to 1314 of the family's 1533-position model. The record is from RNAcentral.